AGUAUGAGAUUGACAACGAAAGAGAGAGGACAUGCAGAACAAACGCCACGGGGAACGGAGCCCCGCCGGCUCUUUUCUCCCCCCACGCUAUUUCUGUCAAGUCAGACAGAAUAGCAGAAAUGCAAACCAGCUAACGCAGACUCGUCCCAGAGUCUUUGAUUUCUGAGUUAAUUUAAACUUGAGAAAGCGCAUCUGCCAAACGCUUCAUCAACGUGUACCGAGGUCAACUCUGGACUGGACCGUCAGCACACCGUCGUCUUCUCUGUCAGCCAAGGUGGCACCUGGAGAAACAUCCUCCUUCGGUCCGGAUCUAAAGAGGGUCCUAAGGAGGAAAGUGGAGAAAACCCCACACAUGCAUGGAAGAACAUGCCAACUCUGAGCAGAAAGGCUGCAGACAGAAUUUAAACCUGUGACCUUCUCGCUGUGAGGCUACUAUGCUACCAACUGUACCACUAUGCAGCCUCAUUAGAUCCAGCUUGAAUUACUAUUUGUCCACUAAAAUGAUCAGCAACCAGAUGCUUCGGGCAUCUGUCCAGGAUUCAGACGGACUCUGGUCUGCUACAGGCUUCUGUGUGAUGAUUAGGUCUCUGACAGGCAUGGAGCUGAGCUCAUGCUGCCACAGCACAACUUUUACAACACAAUGAUUCUUCUGGAAGAUUGGAUUUGACCAAGAAAGCAUUUGAAGUCACAUGUCUGAUAAUUUCCUGUAAGGUAUCACAUUAAAACCAACAGGAUAUAACGAA
Molecule: non-coding RNA, 743 nt
Organism: Nothobranchius furzeri (turquoise killifish)
Lineage: Eukaryota; Metazoa; Chordata; Actinopteri; Cyprinodontiformes; Nothobranchiidae
Source: RefSeq, a predicted model, not a curated record